AGCAGCCGCGGUAAUUCCAGCUCCAAUAGCGUAUAUUAAAGUUGUUGCAGUUAAAAAGCUCGUAGUUGAAUUUCGGGAUUAGUACGCUGGUCGUGCCUUCGGUAUGUACUGGUGUUACUGGUUCCUACCUUCUGACGAACCGUCAUGUCAUUAAUUUGGUGUGGCGGGGAAUCAGGACUGUUACUUUGAAAAAAUUAGAGUGUUUAAAGCAGGCUCGCGCUUGAAUACAUUAGCAUGGAAUAAUGAAAUAGGACGUUCGAUCCUAUUUUGUUGGUUUCUAGGAUUGACGUAAUGAUUAAUAGGGAUAGUUGGGGGCAUUAGUAUUCAAUUGUCAGAGGUGAAAUUCCUGGAUUUAG
RNAcentral lists this ribosomal RNA (356 nucleotides) under uncultured Glomeraceae. Its description in RNAcentral is "SSU rRNA". It matches the Rfam family "Eukaryotic small subunit ribosomal RNA", at positions 569 to 929 of the family's 1831-position model. The record is from RNAcentral. Lineage: Eukaryota; Fungi; Glomeromycota; Glomeromycetes; Glomerales; Glomeraceae.